AGCAGCCGUGGUAAUUCCAGCUCCAAUAGCGUAUAUUAAAGUUGUUGCAGUUAAAAAGCUCGUAGUUAAAUUUCAGGAUCAAAUUGUCGGUCAUGCCUCGGUACGUACUGGUAUUAUUGGUUCCUCCCUUCUGACGAACCACAAUGUCAUUAAUUUGGUGUCAUGGGAAAUCAGGACUGUUACUUUGAAAAAAUUAGAGUGUUUAAAGCAGGCUCGCGCUUGAAUACAUUAGCAUGGAAUAAUGAAAUAGGACGUUUGAUUCUAUUUUGUUGGUUUCUAGGAUCGACGUAAUGAUUAAUAGUGAUAGUUGGGGGCAUUAGUAUUCAAUUGUCAGAGGUGAAAUUCUUGGAUUUAUUGAAGACUAACUACUGCGAAAGCAUUUGCCAAGGAUGUUUUCAUUAAUCAAGAACGAAAGUUAGGGGAUCGAAGACGAUCAGAUACCGUCGUAGUCUUAACCAUAAACUAUGCCGACUAGGGAUCGGAUGAUGUUAAUUUUUUAAUGACUCAUUCGGCGCCUUAC
This 520-nucleotide ribosomal RNA is filed under the name uncultured Glomus. RNAcentral describes it as "SSU rRNA". It matches the Rfam family "Eukaryotic small subunit ribosomal RNA", at positions 569 to 1091 of the family's 1831-position model. Lineage: Eukaryota; Fungi; Glomeromycota; Glomeromycetes; Glomerales; Glomeraceae. The record is from RNAcentral.